RNAcentral lists this ribosomal RNA (477 nucleotides) under uncultured bacterium. RNAcentral's name for it is "partial 16S ribosomal RNA". It matches the Rfam family "Bacterial small subunit ribosomal RNA", at positions 28 to 523 of the family's 1533-position model. The record is from RNAcentral.
GACGAACGCUGGCGGCGUGCUUAACACAUGCAAGUCGAACGGUAAGGCCCUUCGGGGUACACGAGGGCGAACGGGUGAGUAACACGUGGGUGAUCUGCCCUGCACUUCGGGAUAAGCCUGGGAAACUGGGUCUAAUACCGGAUAGGACUCCUGGCUUCAUGGUUGGGGGUGGAAAGCUUUUGCGGUGUGGGAUGGGCCCGCGGCCUAUCAGCUUGUUGGUGGGGUAAUGGCCUACCAAGGCGACGACGGGUAGCCGGCCUGAGAGGGUGACCGGUCACACUGGGACUGAGAUACGGCCCAGACUCCUACGGGAGGCAGCAGUGGGGAAUAUUGCACAAUGGGCGCAAGCCUGAUGCAGUGACGCCGCGUGAGGGAUGACGGCCUUCGGGUUGUAAACCUCUUUCAGCUACGACGAAGCGCAAGUGACGGUAGUAGCAGAAGAAGGACCGGCCAACUACGUGCCAGCAGCCGCAGUAA